AGAACAUAUAGUAUCCUUACAGGUAUUUGCAUAUAACAAAAAAGUCAGGAGAAAUGGAAGUUGUAUCAUGCAGUCCAUGUUUCCAUCUUUUUGAUUGGCUGACAUUCUUACUAUCUUGCUCAGACGUCAGGGCUAAACCUAUCAACGCAAAGGUCACAAAAUGGCAGUCCGCACAGAGCAGCUUUUUGAUUGGGCAGAAGUCUAGCUUGAUACGUCAGGGGUAAACCUAUCAACGCAUCGGCUCCACAGCUCCACCAGCUGCACUCGGCUCGGUGUUUUGUCGGCUCGCGCGUACGAGGUGUGUUUUGUCGGCUCCACAGCUCCACCACGCACUGCAAAGCAGGACUAUCAACCAGCCCAGAAAGCCACUUCUGUACAACGACACAGUCCAACAUCACUAACGCAACAAAGCAGCACUACUAGCAGCUGGACUCACCAUGACAAGGACCCUAGCUACAAAAUCAGCCUUUCCAUUUAUUUCCAACAUUCUCAAAUACAUUCUCUGAACUAUAA
Long non-coding RNA from Branchiostoma floridae (Florida lancelet), 513 nucleotides. RefSeq lists it as uncharacterized. The record is from RefSeq and is a predicted model, not a curated record. NCBI's taxonomy places the organism in Eukaryota, Metazoa, Chordata, Leptocardii, Amphioxiformes, Branchiostomatidae. The transcript has 2 exons.